UACGUAGGGCGCAAGCGUUGUCCGGAAUUAUUGGGCGUAAAGAGCUCGUAGGCGGCUUGUCGCGUCUGUUGUGAAAGCCCGGGGCUUAACCCCGGGUCUGCAGUGGAUACGGGCAGGCUAGAGGCAGGUAGGGGAGAACGGAAUUCCCGGUGUAGCGGUGAAAUGCGCAGGUAUCGGGAGGAACACCGGUGGCGAAGGCGGUUCUCUGGGCCUGUACUGACGCUGAGGAGCGAAAGCGUGGGGAGCGAACAGG
RNAcentral lists this ribosomal RNA (253 nucleotides) under uncultured bacterium. RNAcentral describes it as "partial 16S ribosomal RNA". It matches the Rfam family "Bacterial small subunit ribosomal RNA", at positions 524 to 776 of the family's 1533-position model. The record is from RNAcentral.